Molecule: ribosomal RNA, 324 nt
Filed under: Modisiminae gen. n. sp. Br16-50
Lineage: Eukaryota; Metazoa; Arthropoda; Arachnida; Araneae; Pholcidae
Description: partial 12S ribosomal RNA
Source: RNAcentral
AUUUAUAAAUAAAAGGUAGUAAAAUAAAUAAAAACCUAUUAAAUUUGGCAGUUAUUAAAAAUUAGAGAAACUCGCUUAAUAAUCGACAACCCUCGUUAAAUUUAACUUAUUAUAAAAACCUAUAUACCUCCGUUUAAAGAAAAACUAAAAACUAAAAUCCAAACAAAAACAAUAAAAAAUCAGGUCAAGGUGUAGUCAAUAAAUAAGACAAAAGUAAGUCACAUAUAAUAUAAAAUUAUGAAUUUAUAUUUAAAAAAUCAAUGAAACAGAAUCUAAAAUCAAUACAAAAAUAAAAACUUUGAAUGAAACUGUAACUAAUAAUGC